AUGCUUCUCCUAAAGACUAAGCCAUGCAUGCCUAAGCCUAGGAGGUAGUAAUACUCUCUGAAUCUGCGAACGGCUCCGCAAACCAGUUGUAAACCACAGCAAGCCCGCAAGGGUGGGCCUCGGCUCGCCUGCGCGAUACGGAUAACCCUGGUAAUUCUAAGGCUAAUACGUGUAUGGAACACCCGGUGGACCGGCCUUGUGCUGGGAAACCGGGAGGCGAGGGAUUGAAUGUUUGGAUUACCAGGAACGGGCG
RNAcentral lists this ribosomal RNA (253 nucleotides) under uncultured Lamproderma sp. RNAcentral describes it as "partial 18S ribosomal RNA". It matches the Rfam family "Eukaryotic small subunit ribosomal RNA", at positions 28 to 248 of the family's 1831-position model. The record is from RNAcentral. Lineage: Eukaryota; Evosea; Eumycetozoa; Stemonitida.